CCCGCUGAACUUAAGCAUAUCAAUAAGCGGAGGAAAAGAAACUAACAAGGAUUCCCCUAGUAACUGCGAGUGAAGCGGGAAAAGCUCAAAUUUAAAAUCUGGCAGUCUCUGGCUGUCCGAGUUGUAAUCUAGAGAAGCAUUAUCCGCGCUGGACCGUGUACAAGUCUCCUGGAAUGGAGCGUCAUAGAGGGUGAGAAUCCCGUCUUUGACACGGACUGCCAGGGCUUUGUGAUGUGCUCUCAAAGAGUCGAGUUGUUUGGGAAUGCAGCUCAAAAUGGGUGGUAAAUUCCCAUCUAAGCUAAAUAUUGGCGAGAGACCGAUAGCGAACAAGUACCGUGAGGGAAAGAUGAAAAGAACUUUGGAAAGAGAGUUAAACAGUACGUGAAAUUGCCGAAAGGGAAACGCUUGAAGUCAGUCACGUUGGCCAGGGAUCAACCUUGCUUUUGCUUGGUGUACUUUCUGGUUGAUGGGUCAGCAUCAAUUUUGACCAUUGGAAAAAGGUCAAGGGAAUGUGGCAUCUUCGGAUGUGUUAUAGCCCUUGGUUGCAUACAAUGGUUGGGAUUGAGGAACUCAGCACGCCGCAAGGCCGGGUUUUUAACCACGUACGUGCUUAGGAUGCUGGCAAAAUGGCUUUAAUCGACCCGUCUUGAAACACGG
RNAcentral lists this ribosomal RNA (657 nucleotides) under uncultured fungus. Its description in RNAcentral is "eukaryotic LSU rRNA". It matches the Rfam family "Eukaryotic large subunit ribosomal RNA", at positions 24 to 664 of the family's 3401-position model. Lineage: Eukaryota; Fungi. The record is from RNAcentral.